GCCUAAUCGAGAGGAUAGGUGGAGCGAUUAGAAGUGAGAAUGCCGGUAUGAGUAGCGAAAGAUAGGUGAGAAUCCUAUCCGCCGAAAGACUAAGGUUUCCUGGGGCAGGCUCGUCCGCCCAGGGUAAGUCGGGACCUAAGGUAAGGCCGAGAGGCGUAGCCGAUGGACAACAGGUUGAGAUUCCUGUACUAAUAUUAAUCGUUAAGAGCAAUGGAGGGACGCAGUAGGCUAAUGGCGCAUGUAACUGGAAUCAUGUGUAAG
Molecule: ribosomal RNA, 261 nt
Filed under: Vibrio cholerae
Lineage: Bacteria; Pseudomonadati; Pseudomonadota; Gammaproteobacteria; Vibrionales; Vibrionaceae
Description: partial 23S ribosomal RNA
Rfam family: Bacterial large subunit ribosomal RNA
Source: RNAcentral